Molecule: ribosomal RNA, 252 nt
Filed under: uncultured bacterium
Lineage: Bacteria
Also listed under: 1 other name
Description: partial 16S ribosomal RNA
Rfam family: Bacterial small subunit ribosomal RNA
Source: RNAcentral
UACGGAGGAUGCGAGCGUUAUCCGGAUUUAUUGGGUUUAAAGGGUGCGUAGGCGGUCCGUUAAGUCAGCGGUAAAAUUGCGGGGCUCAACCCCGUCGAGCCGUUGAAACUGGCAGACUUGAGUUGGCGAGAAGUACGCGGAAUGCGCGGUGUAGCGGUGAAAUGCAUAGAUAUCGCGCAGAACUCCGAUUGCGAAGGCAGCGUACCGGCGCCACACUGACGCUGAGGCACGAAAGCGUGGGGAUCGAACAGG